This 516-nucleotide ribosomal RNA is filed under the name uncultured eubacterium WR182. RNAcentral's name for it is "bacterial SSU rRNA". It matches the Rfam family "Bacterial small subunit ribosomal RNA", at positions 9 to 527 of the family's 1533-position model. The record is from RNAcentral.
GAGUUUGAUCAUGGCUCAGAUUGAACGCUGGCGGCAUGCCUUACACAUGCAAGUCGAACGGUAACAGGUUAAGCUGACGAGUGGCGAACGGGUGAGUAAUAUAUCGGAACGUGCCCAAUAGUGGGGGAUAGCCCGGCGAAAGCCGGAUUAAUACCGCAUACGACCUACGGGUGAAAGCGGGGGAUCGCAAGACCUCGCGCUAUUGGAGCGGCCGAUAUCAGAUUAGCUAGUUGGUAGGGUAAAAGCCUACCAAGGCGACGAUCUGUAGCUGGUCUGAGAGGACGACCAGCCACACUGGGACUGAGACACGGCCCAGACUCCUACGGGAGGCAGCAGUGGGGAAUUUUGGACAAUGGACGAAAGUCUGAUCCAGCCAUGCCGCGUGCGGGAAGAAGGCCUUCGGGUUGUAAACCGCUUUCGUCAGGGAAGAAAAGUUUGGGGCUAAUAUCCUCGAAUGAUGACGGUACCGUAAGAAUAAGCACCGGCUAACUACGUGCCAGCAGCCGCGGUAAUACG